GAUUCUUGUUUUUGGCCAUGGUGAAGGUGGUGGCGAUCUUUAGUGCUGCUACUGUUGAUGUUUUCUUGGUUAUUGCUUUGUGAAUCCAUCAAAACCAUAUGGGUUUCAACUUUCAACAAAAGUUCUUUCUUCUUCUCCUUCCUCCUUCAGAGACCAAAGUUUUUCAAAAUUUGAUCCAAACCAAUUUUGUUUUCCACCUCAUAUUUCCUUGUUCUUCAAGUCAGUCCACAGAAAGGAAUUAAUAAAGAAAAAAAACUGCAUAUAUAAAAAAGUUAAGAUGGGAAUAGAAUUAAAAAAGGAAAAAUUAAAAGACCCUGGUGGAUUUAUUUUGCUGCAUAGUCCUCCUGUGAUCCUCACUGCACCACUGGUAGUGCGCGGGGAUCUUCUAGGUCUGUUCUUUUUUUCUUCCUUGUGAUUGACUGCUGUCCCCCUAGUCUUU
RNAcentral lists this unclassified non-coding RNA (439 nucleotides) under Hevea brasiliensis (rubber tree). The record is from RNAcentral. Lineage: Eukaryota; Viridiplantae; Streptophyta; Magnoliopsida; Malpighiales; Euphorbiaceae.